This 402-nucleotide ribosomal RNA is filed under the name Aclodes scandens. RNAcentral describes it as "partial 12S ribosomal RNA". The record is from RNAcentral. Lineage: Eukaryota; Metazoa; Arthropoda; Insecta; Orthoptera; Phalangopsidae.
CUUUAUAUUAUUUGUGAUAAAAAGGCCUGAGUAGUAUUAGUUACUAUCUUAAAACUCAAAGAAUUUGGCGGUGUUGCAGUCCUUUUAGAGGAAUCUGUUCUGUAAUUGAUAACACACAAUUAGUUGUACUUUAUUUUGUGAUCAGCUUAUAUACCGCCGUCGUAAGAUUAUCUUGUGGAGGGAUUGAAAUUUCUUUAUUCAUGAUUAUGAGUUAUGUCAGGUCAAGGUGUAGUUUAUGAUAAAGAAGAGAUGGAUUACAAUAAUAAUAGUUAAAUGGAUGAUUUGAUUAAGGAGGAGAUGAAAAUUUGAAGGUGGAUUUAAAUGUAAUUUCUUCUAAAUUGGGGUUUUGAUUUUGGCUCUGUAAUGUGUACAUAUCGCCCGUCGCUCUCGUUAUAAUAUGAG